UAUUGCACAAUGGGGGAAACCCUGAUGCAGCAAUGCCACGUGAGUGAGGAAGGCCUUCGGGUUGUAAAGCUCUGUCCUAAGGGAAGAACGGUCAUGUCGCUAAUAUCGGCAUGAUUUGACGGUACCUUAGAAGAAAGCACCGGCUAAUUCCGUGCCAGCAGCCGCGGUAAUACGGAAGGUGCAAGCGUUGUUCGGAUUUACUGGGCGUAAAGCGCGCGCAGGCGGAUUAACAAGUCAAAUGUGAAAUCUUAGGGCUUAACCCUGAAAUUGCGUCUGAAACUGUUAGUCUAGAGUACCAGAGGGGGUAGGGGAAUUUCACGUGUAGGGGUAAAAUCCGUAGAGAUGUGAAGGAACACCGGUGGCGAAAGCGCCUGCCUGGAUGGUAACUGACGCUGAGGCGCGAAAGCGUGGGGAGCAAACAGG
RNAcentral lists this ribosomal RNA (423 nucleotides) under uncultured bacterium. RNAcentral's name for it is "bacterial SSU rRNA". It matches the Rfam family "Bacterial small subunit ribosomal RNA", at positions 362 to 776 of the family's 1533-position model. The record is from RNAcentral.